This 96-nucleotide transfer RNA is filed under the name Vulcanibacillus modesticaldus. Its description in RNAcentral is "tRNA-Sec". It matches the Rfam family "Selenocysteine transfer RNA". The record is from RNAcentral. Lineage: Bacteria; Bacillati; Bacillota; Bacilli; Caryophanales; Bacillaceae.
GGGAGUGGAAGAAGUUCUGGUGUCUUCCCCGGUCUUCAAAACCGUGUGAGGGGCUAGGUAGUCCCUGGUGGGUUCGAUUCCCAUCCACUCCCGCCA